This 119-nucleotide ribosomal RNA is filed under the name Musa acuminata subsp. malaccensis (wild Malaysian banana). The record is from RNAcentral. Lineage: Eukaryota; Viridiplantae; Streptophyta; Magnoliopsida; Zingiberales; Musaceae.
GAGUGCGAUCAUACCAGCACUAAAGCACCGGAUCCCAUCAGAACUCCGAAGUUAAGGGUGCUCGGGCGAGAGUAGUACAAGGAUGGGUGACCCCCUGGGAAGUCCUCGUGUUGCACUCC